Molecule: ribosomal RNA, 257 nt
Filed under: uncultured prokaryote
Description: partial 16S ribosomal RNA
Rfam family: Bacterial small subunit ribosomal RNA
Source: RNAcentral
UACGUAGGUGGCGAGCGUUAUCCGGAAUUAUUGGGCGUAAAGAGCGCGCAGGUGGUUGAUUAAGUCUGAUGUGAAAGCCCACGGCUUAACCGUGGAGGGUCAUUGGAAACUGGUCGACUUGAGUGCAAAUGAGGUAGGCGGAAUGCGUCGUGUAGCGGUGAAAUGCUUAGAUAUGACGCAGAACUCCGAUUGCGAAGGCAGCUUACUGGGAUGCAACUGACGCUGAGGCACGAAAGCGUGGGUAUCAAACAGGAUUA